CAGUAGCCGCGGUAACACGAGGGGAGCUAGCGUUGUUCGGAAUUACUGGGCGUAAAGCGCGCGUAGGCGGCUUUUUAAGUCAGAGGUGAAAGCCCGGGGCUCAACCCCGGAAUUGCCUUUGAAACUGGAAAGCUAGAAUCUUGGAGAGGUCAGUGGAAUUCCGAGUGUAGAGGUGAAAUUCGUAGAUAUUCGGAAGAACACCAGUGGCGAAGGCGACUGACUGGGCCAACACUGACACUGGGGCACGAAAGCGUGGGGAGCAAACAGGAUUAGAUACCCCUGUAGUCCCUGUCUCUUAUAA
RNAcentral lists this ribosomal RNA (301 nucleotides) under uncultured bacterium. RNAcentral's name for it is "partial 16S ribosomal RNA". It matches the Rfam family "Bacterial small subunit ribosomal RNA", at positions 509 to 809 of the family's 1533-position model. The record is from RNAcentral.